This 265-nucleotide ribosomal RNA is filed under the name uncultured bacterium. RNAcentral's name for it is "partial 16S ribosomal RNA". It matches the Rfam family "Bacterial small subunit ribosomal RNA", at positions 90 to 354 of the family's 1533-position model. The record is from RNAcentral.
GGCGACCGGCGCACGGGUGAGUAACGCGUAUCCAACCUGCCCUUUACUAUGGGACAGCCCGUCGAAAGGCGGAUUAAUACCGUAUGUUGUCAUGUUGAUGCANAUUUUCAUGACCAAAGGCUUCGGCCGGUAAAGGAUGGGGAUGCGUCUGAUUAGCUUGCCGCGGGGUAACGGCCCACCGGGGCGACGAUCAGUAGGGGUUCUGAGAGGAAGGUCCCCCACAUUGGAACUGAGACACGGUCCAAACUCCUACGGGAGGCAGCAG